UUUUGGAAUUUUUCUUCAAUUUAAAGGUUUAUGUGUAAAUUCAAUGCAAGAAAUGAGUUGUAUUAUAAAUAUAUUUUUUUAGACUGAUAUAUUGUAAAUGUUGAAAUAUAUUAGGGGACACACAUAGAACCACACUUUUUAACACACCAUUUAAAUUAUCGAAUUAAGUAAGUUUCAACCUUUAGAAUUGUAUUUGUUUAAUGGGCAAUCCUUUU
This 215-nucleotide long non-coding RNA is filed under the name Prunus persica (peach). RNAcentral's name for it is "long non-coding RNA (PPER_LNC002379)". Lineage: Eukaryota; Viridiplantae; Streptophyta; Magnoliopsida; Rosales; Rosaceae. The record is from RNAcentral.